This 253-nucleotide ribosomal RNA is filed under the name uncultured bacterium. Its description in RNAcentral is "partial 16S ribosomal RNA". It matches the Rfam family "Bacterial small subunit ribosomal RNA", at positions 524 to 776 of the family's 1533-position model. The record is from RNAcentral.
UACGGAGGGUGCGAGCGUUGUCCGGAAUCAUUGGGCGUAAAGCGCGUGUAGGCGGUCCGGUAAGUCCGCUGUGAAAGUCGGGGGCUCAACCCUCGGAUGCCGGUGGAUACUGUCGGGCUUGAGUACGGAAGAGGCGAGUGGAAUUCCUGGUGUAGCGGUGAAAUGCGCAGAUAUCAGGAGGAACACCAAUUGCGAAGGCAGCUCGCUGGGACGUUACUGACGCUGAGACGCGAAAGCGUGGGGAGCAAACAGG